AGAGUUUGAUCCUGGCUCAGGACGAACGCUGGCGGCACGCUUAACACAUGCAAGUCGAACGAGAGAAGAGGAGCUUGCUUUUCUGAUCUAGUGGCGGACGGGUGAGUAACACGUGAGCAAUCUGCCUUUCAGAGGGGGAUACCGAUUGGAAACGAUCGUUAAUACCGCAUAACAUAAUUGAACCGCAUGAUUUGAUUAUCAAAGAUUUAUCGCUGAAAGAUGAGCUCGCGUCUGAUUAGCUAGUUGGUAAGGUAACGGCUUACCAAGGCGACGAUCAGUAGCCGGACUGAGAGGUUGAUCGGCCACAUUGGGACUGAGACACGGCCCAGACUCCUACGGGAGGCAGCAGUGGGGAAUAUUGCACAAUGGAGGAAACUCUGAUGCAGCGAUGCCGCGUGAGGGAAGAAGGUUUUAGGAUUGUAAACCUCUGUCUUCAGGGACGAAAAAAGACGGUACCUGAGGAGGAAGCUCCGGCUAACUACGUGCCAGCAGCCGCGGUAAUACGUAGGGAGCGAGCGUUGUCCGGAAUUACUGGGUGUAAAGGGAGCGUAGGCGGGAUCGCAAGUCAGAUGUGAAAACUAUGGGCUUAACCCAUAAACUGCAUUUGAAACUGUGGUUCUUGAGUGAAGUAGAGGUAAGCGGGAUUCCUAGUGUAGCGGUGAAAUGCGUAGAUAUUAGGAGGAACAUCAGUGGCGAAGGCGGCUUACUGGGCUUUAACUGACGCUGAGGCUCGAAAGCGUGGGGAGCAAACAGGAUUAGAUACCCUGGUAGUCCACGCCGUAAACGAUGAUUACUAGGUGUGGGGGGACUGACCCCUUCCGUGCCGCAGCAAACGCAAUAAGUAAUCCACCUGGGGAGUACGACCGCAAGGUUGAAACUCAAAGGAAUUGACGGGGGCCCGCACAAGCAGUGGAGUAUGUGGAUUAAUUCGAAGCAACGCGAAGAACCUUACCAGGUCUUGACAUCGUAUGCAUAGCUCAGAGAUGAGUGAAAUCUCUUCGGAGACAUAUAGACAGGUGGUGCAUGGUUGUCGUCAGCUCGUGUCGUGAGAUGUUGGGUUAAGUCCCGCAACGAGCGCAACCCUUACUGUUAGUUGCUACGCAAGAGCACUCUAGCAGGACUGCCGUUGACAAAACGGAGGAAGGUGGGGAUGACGUCAAAUCAUCAUGCCCCUUAUGACCUGGGCCUCACACGUACUACAAUGGCUGUCAACAGAGGGAAGCAAAGCCGCGAGGUGGAGCGAACCCCUAAAAGCAGUCUUAGUUCGGAUUGUAGGCUGCAACCCGCCUACAUGAAGUCGGAAUUGCUAGUAAUCGCAGAUCAGCAUGCUGCGGUGAAUACGUUCCCGGGCCUUGUACACACCGCCCGUCACGCCAUGGGAGUCGGUAACACCCGAAGCCUGUAGUCUAACCGCAAGGAGGACGCAGUCGAAGGUGGGAUUGAUGACUGGGGUGAAGUCGUAACAAGGUA
This 1470-nucleotide ribosomal RNA is filed under the name metagenome. RNAcentral's name for it is "bacterial SSU rRNA". It matches the Rfam family "Bacterial small subunit ribosomal RNA". The record is from RNAcentral.